Molecule: ribosomal RNA, 386 nt
Filed under: uncultured prokaryote
Description: bacterial SSU rRNA
Rfam family: Archaeal small subunit ribosomal RNA
Source: RNAcentral
GCGCGAAAACUUUACAAUGCUGGCAACAGCGAUAAGGGAACCUCGAGUGCCAGGUUACAAAUCUGGCUGUCGAGAUGCCUAAAAAGCAUUUCAUAGCAAGGGCCGGGCAAGACCGGUGCCAGCCGCCGCGGUAACACCGGCGGCUCGAGUGGUAACCGUUAUUAUUGGGUCUAAAGGGUCUGUAGCCGGCCGGAUAAGUCUCUUGAGAAAUCUGGCAGCUUAACUGUCAGGCUUUCAGGAGAUACUGUCUGGCUCGAGGCCGGGAGAGGUGAGAGGUACUUCAGGGGUAGGGGUGAAAUCGUGUAAUGCGUAAAGGACCACCAGUGGCGAGGGCGUCACACCAGAACGGACCUGUCGGAAAGGGACGAAGGCUAGGGGCACGAACC